Long non-coding RNA from Polistes canadensis, 1058 nucleotides. RefSeq lists it as uncharacterized. NCBI's taxonomy places the organism in Eukaryota, Metazoa, Arthropoda, Insecta, Hymenoptera, Vespidae. The transcript is spliced from 5 exons. The record is from RefSeq and is a predicted model, not a curated record.
UAAAGAGGUUAUAUUGAUAUUUAAUACAUCAAACGAUUAAGAGAAAUCUUAUUUUAAUUGUAUUAUUUAAUUAAUAAGAACAAAAAAUAAUCAUAAAAGAAUGUAGAAGCAAAAAAUAUGGCUUUUGCUAUGAUUAUUCUAUUUUUAUUAUUUAAAAAAUUCUAAUGCAUUUAUGUUUAACGAUCACGCCGCCAGGGGGAUACAUGUUUCCUUGCAUUAAGUGCAUCCGCGAUGCGUUCAAACGUGUUAGAUAAUUUUCUAAUUAAUAAAUCAAUAUUUUAAAAGGUAUAUAUAAAAAAAAGUUAUAAAAAUAAAGUGAAUUUUUAUUACAACUUAUAUUUCAUAAUAUCAUGGUAUAAAAACAAAGAUACCAAUACAUCUAAAGCUUCAUCUAAUUCAGCUUCGGUUAAAUCACCACGAGCUUUAACUCUUAAACCUAGUGUGUUAUAAUGAACUGAUAUAGCAGAACGCUUUGGUCUCCCUUCAACUGUAAAGAAAAAUAUCGAGAAAAUGUUUUUUAACCACUCCGCUAUCCCAGCCAAUAAUAGAAGCAACAUCCACAACAGGGAAUUCUAUGACGAACACGACAAACCAUUAGAUACGAUGGACGGAAAUUAUGAGACCAUUGAGAUAUGCAAUGAGCUUCAUCUAUACAAGCAAAAGCUAUCGGUGGCAGUUGUCUAAGUAAAGCACCAAAUCCAGUUGAUUUCUCACCAGCCACUAUUGCUUCAGGUGAGACAAGUAAUAUUUGGAUUUUCGAUUGUUUUACAAGUUGCAUUACAUUAUCUCUUACUUUAGGAGUUUGAUUAGUAUGCAAACAAGCUGCGGAUAAAAAUGAUGCCAUGCUAGUUACUUGGUCGUCCAUUAAUGAAACUAAUGGCGAGAUAACUAAUGUUAUGCAGGUUGAAUAUUUAGAAUAUAAAUAUGCCGGUAAUUGAUAACAUAAAGAUUUUCCAGAACCAGUUGACAAAGGAGGCAUAAUUUGGCUAUCAAUUCAUCAGGAAUUUUAUGGACUACUGGAAUUUCCUGUAAUAAAUUUUAAUAAUUAGAUAUAGUAA